This 2623-nucleotide long non-coding RNA is filed under the name Sus scrofa (pig). RNAcentral's name for it is "lncRNA (ENSSSCG00050059070.1)". Lineage: Eukaryota; Metazoa; Chordata; Mammalia; Artiodactyla; Suidae. The record is from RNAcentral.
UGGCAUGAAAAAAAAAAAAAAAACUAUUGGGCUUGAAGGCUGGAAUUUUGGUAAACUGUGAGGGUUCGUUAAAAAGCCUCAAUUCACUAGAGGGUGGAGAAUGGGUAUUCUGUUUAAUUGAACAUUAAGUAGUGUCUUUCUUUGUCUUGGCCCUUGUUGAAAAUUUCCUAACACUGCCUUACUAGAGGCUGCUAUACUUUGAACUGACUAAAUCUUUGCUUUAUGGUUCUAUAGUCUCUGUGUAAAAAGUAGAGUUUGGGCUGUGAAUCUAUAAAGACCCCUGUUCCUGCUUAUUCUGAAAGUCAUUGGUUGUAAACAUACCCUCUGUGAAUUUGUUAAAUUUCCCUUUUUUCCUUUAAACUAGAGUUCAGGAAAAAUUCUAAUACUAUUUAAAUUAAAAAUAAAAAGUCACCAUAUUGAAAUAUACUAAGUGUUAAGUUCUGGAUCACUGUUAGUUUGAUGGCCCAGUCUCAAGAGUUGCUAAGCCUCUCAAAACCUUGAGCAUUCUCGACGAGAACAAACCUUUCCAUGGCCAUGUUCAUGCUCCCAAAUAAACGAUCAGUAGGGUUUUAUCAAGUAAAAAUGGCUUUUGAUUUUUAUGUGUAACAUACAUGCACUUAUUAUUUAUAUUUGAUUGCUAAAAGCAUAAUUAUGUUAGAUAUAUACUAUGUGGUAAAUUGUAACUAAUAAAUUUUAGGAAGUACUGAAAGUAAUUCUCAGUAUUUUGAAAUUUUAAAUAUUUAGCAACCUGGUAGUUUAUUUAAUAUGAUGUGCACCUUCUGACUACACAUUUAAUUGUGAAAAUUACAGUUUAAUAAGGAAGAUAAAGCUGUUCUGUUGUAAAGGAGCAAGUAUGGAUCAAUACUUGGGUAGGGAAGAGAUAAAAACUUGAGAAUUGAAAUAGUAUUUUUUUCUUUUGCAGUCCAUGCAUAAAUAACAAAAUUGCAUUAAGUUGUAAUAGAACUUGGCAGAUUGAGUUCUUUAAGGGGUGGGUGGGUAUAUACACAUAAAGUACGGUUCAGGUUUUUAGCAUUGAAAUGAUAUUAAAUACAAGUAAAUCCAAAUAUUGGAGAUAAUGUUUGGUAACAGUACGUUUAAGCGCAGGGGAAAAAUACCAGUUAAAUGUCAGGGCUCAUUCGUUUGUUUUAGAUAACCUGUUUAAAUCAUAGAUAAACUUUUUUUAAAGUGAAGUGAAAGUACAACCAAAAACUUUUUGAAAUUCUUGUUUUCUAAGUCAAGAAUUUGUAGUUUACACCAAGGUGCCCCGUAUCGUUGUAAUGAGCUACUUGUUCAACCAAGACUUCCAAAGGACUUUCACUUUUAAAGAAUGUCGUAAAGUCUGUUAUGUCUUCCAGAAGGUAAAAUACUUUCCACAAGAGUGUAACUUUCAUUUACUUGCCUAAGAGGCAUGAACAUUUAGAAAAAUGUUGCUCUCCUAUGUAAAUAGUUUAAUUAUAGUUAGAUUCACAGAGCUUGGUGUAUUAUUAGCAUCACAUAAACUUAGAAAAUUUUUCCUCCUCUAGUUUUGUAAGAACUUGUGGUAUUAAGUCUGGAGCAAAUGCCAUAUUUUGCUGAUUUGCAUCAUGAUUAGUUAUACAUUAUAUGUUGUUAGUUUGGAAACUUGGCAUUUCAAGCAUAUGAACCAAAGGCCCACACUAACUGAAUUAAUAUUUAAAUGCAGAAUCUGUUUUUUAUUUACACGGUGCUUUCCACCUUGAUCAUUGAGACACUUUACAGGAGAAGCCACCCAUGUUUAGCCCUGCAUGAGUAGUGAUAAUUCCAUAUGACUUCAUAGGUUUUUUUGUUGUUGUUGUUUCUUUGCCUGAUUCUGUUAAUUAGAAAGUGAGGGGGUGUUCCCGUCUUGGCUCAGCGGUAACAAACCUGACUAGUAUCCAUGAGAAUGUGUGUUUGAUCUCUGGCCUUGCUCAGUGGGUUAAGGAUCCAGUGCUGCCUUGAGCUGUGGCCUAGUUCGCAGACAUGACCCAGAUCCCUGCUGUGGCUGUGGUGUAGGCCAGCAGCUGCAGCUCUUAUUCGACCCCUAGCCUGGGAACUUGAAUAUGCCCAGAUGUGGCCCUAAAAAUGAGGGGAAGGAUGAUUGUUAUUUGUCCUUUUGUGACUGGCUUAUUUUGCUUAGUAUAAUAUCUUCGAAUAAUCUGUUUUAUGUUUCCAGUGGCCGCUUUUUAAAAAAUGACAAGUGAUAUUUUUAAUAAUUUUUAAUCCAGUAUACUCAAAGUAUUGUCUCAACAUGUAGUCUGUUUUUGAAAGGCUAUGAGACAUUUUGCAUUUUUUCAUACUAAGCCUUGGAAAUCCCAAGUAUAUUUUAUACUUAAAAGCAUAUCUCAGAGUUCCCACUAUGGCAGCUUGGGUUGCUGCAGAGGUAUGGGUUCGAUUCCCCAAGCCCAGCACAGUGGGUUAAAGAAUCUGCAUCACCCCAAUAUAGGUCACAUUUAAUCCCAAAACUAAUCCAUAUGCUAUGGGUGUGGCCAUUUAAAAAAAAAAAAAAGGCAGUAUAUUUCAAAUGGACAAAGGACGUCAAUAGACAUUUCUCCAAAGAAGAUAGAUAAAUGGCUAGUAAGCACAUGAAAAGAUGCUCAGUGUCACUCAUCAUUAGGGAAAUGCAAAU